GUUUUGAACAGGUACAGAAGUUGCUUGGUUAGUAGUUGAGAUUCCAGUAGAUAACUGUUCUGUUGAAACAUGUUCUUUGGUAUUAAGUGUUGAUAUAGAUGGUACAGAUGUUGAGAAGGGGUUUUGAACAAUUGUAGUGGCUAGUUGGUCAGAGCUCAGCUGUCCAGUAGAAACACUCUCAGUUGCAUUGAAUCCAGUUUGUACAGGAGUUGAGGUGGUGUUUUGAACAGGUACAGAAGUUGCUUGGUUUGUAGUUGAGAUUCCAGUAGAUAACUGUUCUGUUGAAACAUGUUCUGUGGUAUUAAUGGUAGAUUUCGUUGGUACAGAUGUGAAGGUGUUUUGAACAAAUAUAGUAGCCACUUGGUUAGAGGUCAGCUGUCCAGUUGAAACUUGCUCAGGGUUAUUGAAUGUAGUUUGUACAGGAGUUGAAGUGGUGUUUUGAAAAUAUUCAGUACUUCCUUGAAUGGCUAUUGAACUUGUUGGGGUGUUUUGAACAAUUGUAGUAAUAGUUUGGUUAGAGCUCAACUUUCCACUAGAAACAUACUCUGUUGCUUUGAAUGUAGUUUGUACAGGAGUUGUGGUGGUGUUUUGAACAAGUACAGAAGUUGCUUGGUUAGUGGUUGAGAUUCCAGUAGUUAACUGUUCAGUUGUAACAGGUUCUGUGUUAUUAAUGGAUAAUGUAGUUUGUACAGAUGUUGAGAAGGGGUUUUGAACAAUUGUAGUAGGUUUUUGGUCAGAGCUCAGCUGUCCAGUAGAAACACUCUCAGCGGCAUUGAAUGUAGUUUGUACAGGAGUUGAGGUGGUGUUUUGAACAGGUACAGAAGUUGCUUGGUUAGUAGCUGAGAUUCCAAUAGUUAAAUGUCCUGUUGAAAUUUGCUCUGUGGUAGUAAUUGUUGAUGUAGCUAGUACAGCUGUUGAGGGGGUGCUUUGAAUAGUUACAGGAGUUGCUUGGUUAGCUGUUGAGACUUCAGUUUUUAACUGUUCAGUUGCAACGUGUUCUGUGGUAUUAAUGAUAGAUGUAGUUGGUACAGAUGUUGUCUGGGUGUUUGGAAUAGUUCUUGUAGUAGCUUGGUCAGAGGUCAGCUGUCCAGUAGAAACAUCUGCUGUGUUAUUGAGUGUAGUUGUUUUUUGAACAGGUGGAGAAGUGGACAGGUCGGAUAUUAUGAGUCUGGUAGAGAAAUCUCCGGCUGAACUUUGCUCUGUAGAUGUAGCUGGUGCAGAUGUUAAGUUUAUAUUUUCUCCAUGUAUGACUGCAUUUGAUGCAGUAGAUGGUUGAUCAGAUGUUGGGUAUUCAGUAGUUAACGGUCCAAUUGUAACUUGCUCUGUGGUUCUGAAUGUAGUUGGUCCAGGGUUUGCUGUAGUGUUUUGGAUAGGUGCAGCAAUAGAUGUUUCUGUAGAUGUUUUUGCAGUGAGACAACACAUUCC
Esox lucius (northern pike) is the source of this 1425-nucleotide long non-coding RNA. The record is from Ensembl. Lineage: Eukaryota; Metazoa; Chordata; Actinopteri; Esociformes; Esocidae.